This 301-nucleotide ribosomal RNA is filed under the name uncultured bacterium. RNAcentral describes it as "partial 16S ribosomal RNA". It matches the Rfam family "Bacterial small subunit ribosomal RNA", at positions 509 to 807 of the family's 1533-position model. The record is from RNAcentral.
CAGCAGCCGCGGGAAUACGUAGGUGGCAAGCGUUGUCCGGAAUUAUUGGGCGUAAAGGGCUCGCAGGCGGUUUCUUAAGUCUGAUAUGAAAGCCCCCGGCUCAACCGGGGAGGGUCAUUGGAAACUGGGAAACUUGAGCGCAGAAGAGGAGAGUGGAAUUCCACGUGUAGCGGUGAAAUGCGUAGAGAUGUGGAGGAACACCAGUGGCGAGGGCGACUCUCUGGUCUGUAACUGACGCUGAGGAGCGAAAGCGUGGGGAGCGAACAGGAUUAGAUACCCCUGUAGUCCCUGUCUCUUAUAC